AUUGAACGCUGGCGGCAUGCUUUACACAUGCAAGUCGAACGGCAGCACGGGUGCUUGCACCUGGUGGCGAGUGGCGGACGGGUGAGUAAUGCAUCGGAACGUGUCCUGAAGUGGGGGAUAACGCAUCGAAAGAUGUGCUAAUACCGCAUAUUCUCUGAGGAGGAAAGUAGGGGAUCGAAAGACCUUAUGCUUUUGGAGCGGCCGAUGUCUGAUUAGCUAGUUGGUAGGGUAAUGGCUUACCAAGGCGACGAUCAGUAGUUGGUCUGAGAGGACGACCAGCCACACUGGGACUGAGACACGGCCCAGACUCCUACGGGAGGCAGCAGUGGGGAAUUUUGGACAAUGGGCGCAAGCCUGGUCCAGCAAUGCCGCGUGAGUGAAGAAGGCCU
This 389-nucleotide ribosomal RNA is filed under the name uncultured bacterium. RNAcentral describes it as "bacterial SSU rRNA". It matches the Rfam family "Bacterial small subunit ribosomal RNA", at positions 30 to 417 of the family's 1533-position model. The record is from RNAcentral.